Non-coding RNA from Musca domestica (house fly), 79 nucleotides. NCBI's taxonomy places the organism in Eukaryota, Metazoa, Arthropoda, Insecta, Diptera, Muscidae. The record is from Rfam.
GUAUGUGAUGAUAACUUUAAUCUGAAUGAAUUCCAUGACGAUCACACAUUCAAAUUAAACCAAAAGGAUUCUGACAUAC